UUGUUGAUCAGUUCACACCACACGACAUAACGUGACUGCCCCACAACAGGAGGUAACGCACUACACGAGUUGAGAACAACUCUAUCACCCGGCGAUUCUAUCUUGUCCACAAACCACGUUUUGUCACGAAAAAUCACGCGAUAAAACAAACCGGAAAUGACGCGAAACAACACGCGCACCAGUAAACCCACAGAAGAAGAAUCAAGACGACGCGCAAAACUUUUGUUUGUAUAGACUUCAGACAGAAAUUAGUGCUGCAAACCGUUUGCGCGAUGCAAAGCCGCAAAAGAAAAAAAUGAAGAGAUGUGUAUGUGGAGAGGUGGACACCACACGCGGACAGCAGGGAUUUAAGAGUUGGAGAAUAGGACAGGCUUCGCAAAGCAUGACUUGGAGAGGGUUUGUCUUUGACCCUGCGAUUCUAUGCAACAGGUGACACGUUCAAGUCCCUCAGGUUCAAGUCCAGGAUGGGGGACCAGCACCAUCCCACAAAUAGUUUUGGAUAGCUGUUCUGUACCAGGUUAUAAAGGACGAUUUCUUGAAGACACCAUCAACGGAAGGAGAGUGGCAUAGCCGUGGACUUCGAAAGGAAGUGGCAGUUUCCACAUUGCUUUGGGGUACUUACUACCACUCCAGCUGUAGCAGACUGCUGACCAAAACAUGGUUGAUGGGCAAUGGAAGAAUCGUGGGAUGGGUGCUUUUCAACCGAUGAACGCCACCUCACAUCGCAAUUGUAUGGCAACAGCAAAAGUGCAACGCACUCUGAUGCGGGACUACUUUGUCUCACCAGCGGGUAGUGUUUAUUGGCAAGUUCAACACAUUUUAAAAGGAACUGAUGUAGAGUUAUCCCUGCAAACAGCAGAUUAAAGCCAGUUAUUGUCAGUUUAGGACAUUAGUUUUCUUGUGUGUUCUAAAGUCCUGUAUUUGUAAAGAACACAAUGUGGUUCACUUUUUCAUUGUUUUAAGUAUUCUGUUUAUUGUUGUGUUAUUAUUCAAUUAAUUUUAAUUGCAUACAAAUCAAAAGGUGCAGGAAUGUAACAAAUAAAGGCAAUCUGCAUGUUGCAAUUAA
Long non-coding RNA from Paramisgurnus dabryanus, 1066 nucleotides. RefSeq lists it as uncharacterized. Lineage: Eukaryota; Metazoa; Chordata; Actinopteri; Cypriniformes; Cobitidae. The record is from RefSeq and is a predicted model, not a curated record.